AUCGAGGUUCGACUAAGCCAUGCGAGUCGAAUGUAGCAGUACAUGGCGAACUGCUCAGUAACACGUGGACAACCUGCCCUUAGGUUGGGUAUAAACCCGGGAAACUGGGUAUAAUACCCGAUAGGUCUCGAUUGCUGGAAUGCAUCGAGAUUUAAAGCUCCGGCGCCUAAGGAUGGGUCUGCGGCCUAUCAGGUAGUAGUGGGUGUAGCGUACCUACUAGCCUACGACGGGUACGGGUUGUGAGAGCAAGAGCCCGGAGAUGGAUUCUGAGACACGAAUCCAGGCCCUACGGGGUGCAGCAGGCGCGAAAACUUUACAAUGCUGGCAACAGCGAUAAGGGAACCUCGAGUGCCAGGUUACAAAUCUGGCUGUCGAGAUGCCUAAAAAGCAUUUCAUAGCAAGGGCCGGGCAAGACCGGUGCCAGCCGCCGCGGUAACACCGGCGGCUCGAGUGGUAACCGUUAUUAUUGGGUCUAAAGGGUCUGUAGCCGGCCGGAUAAGUCUCUUGAGAAAUCUGGCAGCUUAACUGUCAGGCUUUCAGGAGAUACUGUCUGGCUCGAGGCCGGGAGAGGUGAGAGGUACUUCAGGGGUAGGGGUGAAAUCUUGUAAUCCUUGAAGGACCACCAGUGGCGAAGGCGUCUCACCAGAACGGACCUGACGGCAAGGGACGAAAGCUAGGGGCACGAACCGGAUUAGAUACCCGGGUAGUCCUAGCCGUAAACGAUACUCGCUAGGUGUCGGCCACGGUGCGACCGUUGUCGGUGCCGUAGGGAAGCCGUGAAGCGAGC
RNAcentral lists this ribosomal RNA (787 nucleotides) under uncultured archaeon. RNAcentral describes it as "bacterial SSU rRNA". It matches the Rfam family "Archaeal small subunit ribosomal RNA", at positions 32 to 824 of the family's 1478-position model. The record is from RNAcentral.